UACGGAGGGUGCAAGCGUUGCUCGGAAUUACUGGGCGUAAAGCGCGUGUAGGCGGUUUCGUGGGUCUGAUGUGAAAUCCCCGGGCUCAACCCGGGAAGUGCAUUGGAAACUGCGAGACUAGAGUCCCGGAGAGGAAGGUGGAAUUCCCAGUGUAGCGGUGAAAUGCGUAGAUAUUGGGAGGAACACCAGUGGCGAAGGCGGCUCACUGGACCGGUACUGACGCUGAUGCGCGAAAGCGUGGGGAGCAAACGGG
This 253-nucleotide ribosomal RNA is filed under the name uncultured bacterium. RNAcentral's name for it is "partial 16S ribosomal RNA". It matches the Rfam family "Bacterial small subunit ribosomal RNA", at positions 524 to 776 of the family's 1533-position model. The record is from RNAcentral.